Molecule: long non-coding RNA, 2854 nt
Filed under: Lynx pardinus (Iberian lynx)
Lineage: Eukaryota; Metazoa; Chordata; Mammalia; Carnivora; Felidae
Source: RNAcentral
AGUCCCAGCCACCUUAGGUCCCCGCUCCGUGGCCCUGGGCAAGUGGCGAAACCUCUCUGGGCUUCAGAGAGCACCUGCCUCACGGGGUCCACCGCAGGGUGAGUGGAAGCUACCGUGUGCUGAGCAUUUGCUGUGUCCCGCCACCAGCAGGCCGCACCCCAAGGCAGUGAGUGACCCGGCCGUUCGGCCCCGGCGGCGGCGGAGUGGGCUCCGCUCCCCCGCUCCCCAGACCCCGCCUGAGGCCCCCGCGCGUGGUAGCGGCCGGGCGCAUUUCCCUCGGUGCGCGCGACGGGCCACGCGCCACCCGCAGAGUGGCGCCCGCUCUGCCCUGUGCCGGCGGGGUGGGGGCCACACGCGGAGGGCACACACCCCCGACAGCCCAGCGAAGCACGAAAAACACACAGAUCGCUGGCGGUGGUCUUUUCUAACCUUGACGACAAAAACACCCUUUCAUGCGCCACAUGAGCGAACGGAACCACGACUGAUUCACAGCUAACAAGGGUUCUCCCGGGAACUGUGGGAGUGGAGCCCCCUCCCCACUGUCCCCACCUCCACACUGUGGGGCAGGGGGCUGGGGGCACGCUGGCCACCUCUAGGGCGGAGUGGCUGGGGUAGGAGUUGGCCUGGGGAUGGGUGGAGGUGGGGGGAGUGUCUGGCACGGGAAGGUGGACGGGCUGGGGAGCAGGGGCUCCUGAGCCCCUGGCGGGGGGCGGUUCAUUACCCUUUGCUGGGUGCGGGGAACCCUGGGGGCUGUGGGGAGCCACUGGGGAAGUGGCCAGGUGUGAUUUACACUUGGAAACACCCUUCUGGCCUUAGGGGGGCCCAAUCAGCGGGGGUGGCUCAGGUUAGGGUGCAGUGGGAAACAGGGUUGGCUGGCAGAGAGGGGGAGAGGCCUAGGUCAUGCCCAAUGUCUGGCUGGAGUGCUGAGGAGAUGGCAAGGUGGGGUGGCGGGGGGGGGGGGGGGGGGGGGGGGGGGGGGGGGGGGGCUGGACAGAGGGAGGGGGUCCUGAAGUGAAGAGGGAGGGUGGCCCUCCCCAGGGACAGCAUGGCAAACCAGGACACAGCCCUGGACCUACCAGUGCCAGCUCCCCAGGCCUGCAGUGGGCUCUGUGGGCACCAGGCGGGCUGAUCCACACCAGCUCCCCAGCACUGGUUGGAAGCCUCGGGGGCCAUCCCAGGGCCUUUCUUUCUGUCUCUCCCAAGAACCCCCCUUCAAGCACAACGGAAAGGAGUCCCCUUCUCCACAUCCGCCUUCUUCCUUAGUCCUCCUAAGGGGCUUCCCUUCUCCACUCCUGCCAUCCUCCCCGUGGUGCCCACCGGGCCUUGGAAAGCAGAAACCAGGCCCCUCUCGUCCCCUGGAAAAGUGCCAAUAUAAAAUCCAGGCUCCUCAUGGCUCCCAAACCCAGACUUGAUCUUACCUCCCUUCGCUCUCCCCCCGGCUCCUCCCUUGAGCCCCCAGUGCUGCCCCCAGAGUUGCUGUCAGUUCAUUCCCUUCUCACCUGCUUUUUCUCUUCCUUCACACAGUCUCCCUGAGGAGUCCUGCCAGGCUACCUCCUCGGUAUUUUGCUCCCAACUCAAAUGUCACCUUCUUCUGGAAAAAGCAGCGACCUCUGUCACAUUAUCUGGCUUUAUUGUUUUUUUUUUUUUUAAUACACUUAACCAGUGUUGGAAGUUAUUUCGUGUUCUUGUUUAUCAUCUUCUCCCCUGACCAGAAUAUAAGCUCCAUGAGUAUAGGGACCAUGUCUGUCUUGCUCAAGGUUCUGUCACCACAGCUGGACCAGUGCUGGGCACCCAGGGGAAACCCAGGAGACACUUAUUGCCUGAGGGAACUGACCCCUGGGCUGAACAGGUAUGUCGCCAGCUCUAAGGUGGCACGUUGUGACAGGUGACCCAGGACUGAGCAGUUUGGGAGAAGGAGUUCUCCUGGGGGGAUCUGGGGAAACCUUGAAGAAGAGGAAGGAUUUGAAUUGUGACAAGAACAGGUACCACUUCUUGAGGAAAUUGACAGUGCUUUUGUGGGCACAGGAAGGUGGAUGAACAAGGACUUGGAGGAGGGAAGGCUAGGGUUUGGGACAGCUGGUGUAUAAGAUCUAGAUGUGGAGGGGCGUCUUGGUGGCUCAGUCGGUUAAGCAUCCAACUUUGGCUCAGGUCAUGAUUUCACGGUUGGUGAGUCUGAGCCCUCCAUUGGGCUCGGGGCUGACAGUGUGGAGCCUGCUUGGGAUUCUCUCUCUCUCUCUCUCUCUCUCUCUCUCUCUCUCUCCCCCCCCCCCCGCCUCUUCCCCAUGUGUGCAUGCAUGCAUGUGCUCUCUCUCUCUCAAAAUAAAUAAACUUAAAAAAAAAAAAGUUCUAGCUGUGGAAUGCUAGGGACAUGGGAGAUUAAGUUGGAAAAGUAGAUUGUGGCUAUGCUCUGAGGGCAUCUUGUUAUGGACUGAAUUGUGCCCCUGCCCCCCAGGAUUCAUAUGUUGAAGUCCUAACCCUUCUAUAACCUCCAGAUGUGACUAUUUGGAGAUAGGGUCUUUAAAGAGGGAAUCAAGGUUAAAGAGAGGUUAUAUGGGUGGGCCCUCAUCCAAUAUGACGGGUGUCCUUACACAGGGGGAAAGCCACCAGGGCUGCACGUACAAUGAGAACAUUCCCAGCAAGGGAAUGGCCAUCUGUAAGCCAAGGAUCAAGACCUCAGAAGACCUCGGAAGACCCAGCCCUGCACACACCUUCUUCUGGGACUUUCAGCCCCCAGGACGGUCAGUUUCUGUUGUUUAAGCCUCUGUUCUGUCAUCUUUUGUUUGGGCAGCCCUAGCAAAUGACUAUAGGUCUUAAGCUUUCUAUAUUUUAAUUUUAUCUCUUUUUUUUUUUUUUU